RNAcentral lists this long non-coding RNA (267 nucleotides) under Mytilus galloprovincialis (Mediterranean mussel). The record is from RNAcentral. Lineage: Eukaryota; Metazoa; Mollusca; Bivalvia; Mytilida; Mytilidae.
CCUAGUUUUUGGUGGGGUUCGUGUUGUUUAUUCUUUAGUUUUCUAUGUUGUGUCGUGUGUACUAUUGUUUUUCUGUUUGUUUUUUUUAUUUUUAGCCAUGGCGUUGUCAGUUUGUUUUAGAUUUAUGAGUUUGACUGUCCCUUUGGUAUCAUUCGUCCCUCUUUUAUCAGCCCGCUAUUGAAAUUCCAAGGAAUCUGGUCAAUAAACCUAGUAAUCCUUUCAUAGCCUUAUGAUAUUUUCAAAUGUUAUUGAACUGUAAAAUUUAAG